GCAGCCCGGGGGAUCCGCCCACCCGCUGAAUUUAAGCAUAUCGCUAAGCGGAGGAAAAGAAACCAACCGGGAUUCCCUUAGUAACGGCGAGUGAACCGGGAGAAGCCCAACGCCGAAUCCCGUCGCAAGUAAAAGGCUUCGGGACGUGUGGCGCACGGGUCGAAGAUAGCCGUUCGUUCGUCUCGCGUASUUCGGAGUUCCCUCGAUCGGGGCCGCCCGUGCGGUGCCAGGCCCAUUCGGUGCGGACGGCGAGCGACGGUCUUCGAUCCGAGAGUCGGGUUGCUUGGGAACGCAGCCCAAAUCGGGUGGUAAGCUCCAUCCAAGGCUAAAUACCGGGAUGAGUCGAUAGUCGACAGUACUGAGGAAU
RNAcentral lists this ribosomal RNA (367 nucleotides) under Loligo forbesii (northern European squid). Its description in RNAcentral is "eukaryotic LSU rRNA". It matches the Rfam family "Eukaryotic large subunit ribosomal RNA", at positions 1 to 362 of the family's 3401-position model. Lineage: Eukaryota; Metazoa; Mollusca; Cephalopoda; Myopsida; Loliginidae. The record is from RNAcentral.